CCUACGGGGCGCAGCAGUGGGGAAUAUUGGACAAUGGGCGAAAGCCUGAUCCAGCCAUGCCGCGUGUGUGAAGAAGGCCUUCGGGUUGUAAAGCACUUUCAGUGGGGAAGAAAGCCUUGGGGCUAAUACCCUCGAGGAAGGACAUCACCCACAGAAGAAGCACCGGCUAACUCCGUGCCAGCAGCCGCGGUAAUACGGAGGGUGCGAGCGUUAAUCGGAAUUACUGGGCGUAAAGCGCGCGUAGGCGGUCUGAUAAGCCGGUUGUGAAAGCCCCGGGCUCAACCUGGGAACGGCAUCCGGAACUGUCAGGCUAGAGUGCAGGAGAGGAAGGUAGAAUUCCCGGUGUAGCAGUGAAAUGCGUAGAGAUCGGGAGGAAUACCAGUGGCGAAGGCGGCCUUCUGGACUGACACUGACGCUGAGGUGCGAAAGCGUGGGUAGCAAACAGGAUUAGAUACCCCAGUAGUC
Molecule: ribosomal RNA, 465 nt
Filed under: Vreelandella stevensii
Lineage: Bacteria; Pseudomonadati; Pseudomonadota; Gammaproteobacteria; Oceanospirillales; Halomonadaceae
Description: partial 16S ribosomal RNA
Rfam family: Bacterial small subunit ribosomal RNA
Source: RNAcentral